GGAAGUAAAAGCGUAACAAGGUUUCCGUAGGUGAACCUGCGGAAGGAUCAUUAUUGUAUAACCGAGGUGCGAGGGCUGUCGCUGACCCGAAAGGUCGUGCACGCCCGAGUGCCCUCACACACAUCCAUCUCACCCCUAUGUGCACCACCGCGUGGGUCCCCCUUUGGCUUGUUCGGAGGGGGGCUUACGUUUUCACACAAACUUUGUAUGCAGUGUAGAAUGUAUUUUUUGUUUUUGCGAUCACGCAAUCAAUACAACUUUCAACAACUGAUCUCUUGGCUCUC
This 284-nucleotide unclassified non-coding RNA is filed under the name plant metagenome. RNAcentral describes it as "partial contains small subunit ribosomal RNA and internal transcribed spacer 1". The stretch from base 1 to 53 matches the Rfam family "Eukaryotic small subunit ribosomal RNA", at positions 1778 to 1831 of the family's 1831-position model. The record is from RNAcentral.